RNAcentral lists this ribosomal RNA (252 nucleotides) under uncultured bacterium. RNAcentral's name for it is "partial 16S ribosomal RNA". It matches the Rfam family "Bacterial small subunit ribosomal RNA", at positions 524 to 776 of the family's 1533-position model. The record is from RNAcentral.
UACGUAUGUCGCAAGCGUUAUCCGGAUUUAUUGGGCGUAAAGCGCGUCUAGGCGGUUUAUCAAGUCUGAUGUGAAAAUGCGGGGCUCAACCCCGUAUUGCGUUGGAAACUGCUAAACUAGAGUACGGGAGAGGAAGGCGGAACUACAAGUGUAGAGGUGAAAUUCGUAGAUAUUUGUAGGAAUGCCGAUGGGGAAGGCAGCCUGCUGGACAGACACUGACGCUGAGGCGCGAAAGCGAGGGGAGCAAACGGG